CGUGGUAACCUGCCUCAUACAGGGGGAUAGCAGCUGGAAACGGCUGAUAAAACCGCAUAAGCGCACAGUAUCGCAUGAUGCAGUGUGAAAAACUCCGGUGGUAUGAGAUGGACCCGCGUCUGAUUAGCUGGUUGGUGAGGUAACGGCCCACCAAGGCGACGAUCAGUAGCCGGCCUGAGAGGGUGACCGGCCACAUUGGGACUGAGACACGGCCCAA
Molecule: ribosomal RNA, 217 nt
Filed under: uncultured bacterium
Lineage: Bacteria
Description: partial 16S ribosomal RNA
Rfam family: Bacterial small subunit ribosomal RNA
Source: RNAcentral